CACAGAAUCCUAAGCAGCUCCAGGCUCUGAGCUGUCAGCACAGAGCCCAAUGCGAAGCUCAAACUCAAAAGCCCUGAGAUCAUGACCUGAGCCAAGUCAGACUGGGCCACCCCGGUGCCUCUCAUAACAAUUCUUUGAAAGGAAGGAGGAAGUUACUAGCCAGGCAAGAACUGGCUAUUUUCGGGCACAGAGGAAGGUGUUGGGAAUAUGCAUGGCCAUCCUAAUGUGUCAUUGGGAUUCUGUUUUCCAUUUCUGUAAUGAUUACACAGAGAGGUGCAAAUUGCCCAUAUUUUCCUCUUAUGAAAAAAUUCUCAAUGGAGGCAAGGAGCAGUGGAUCAUUUCAAACUUACCACAGCAACAGCUUCGGGAAAGAAGGCAUAUGUAAGAUGACAUUGUAAGCCACAUUGGUCAGCAAAUAAAGGACGGUCACAACGGGCAUGGAUACAGAAACAGACACUGGUAGAGUCCAAAGAAGAAAAACAAAAGGACAUUUUACUGUUUGAACAUUUGAAAAGAACCCAAGAAUAUAAGCAUUGCAUCCAAAUGGAAGAUUUUCCUGUGGGCAAAGGUGAUGACUCUCCUCACAGUUUAGAGCACUUUCUCCAAGACAUCUUUUCUCUCACUUUCUCUCACUUUCUCUUUAAUCCAUUAAGAAACUGUCAUCCUGAUGAACACUGGGUGUUGUAUGGAAACCAAU
Prionailurus viverrinus (fishing cat) is the source of this 697-nucleotide long non-coding RNA. RefSeq lists it as uncharacterized. The transcript is spliced from 3 exons. The record is from RefSeq and is a predicted model, not a curated record. Lineage: Eukaryota; Metazoa; Chordata; Mammalia; Carnivora; Felidae.